This 917-nucleotide long non-coding RNA is filed under the name Mytilus galloprovincialis (Mediterranean mussel). The record is from RNAcentral. Lineage: Eukaryota; Metazoa; Mollusca; Bivalvia; Mytilida; Mytilidae.
UAAAGGCGAAGAAGGAAAGACAACACAAGGAGGGAAAUAUGAAAACACAAAUGUUGAAAAUCAUUACACAGGGAACAUAUUCUAAGCAAUCAUAUAAACAAAGGAGAACAUACAGCGCAAAUUAUAAUGGACAACACAACAGACAAUAUUAACUACAAACCAGAACCUACAAACCUAAAAAAAAUCGCAAUUACAUAUACAGAAAAGGGCAACACAUUCUCUGAAUUGUUUGACUUUGUACAGCAUAACAUAUGGUAUACCCGACAAUAAACUGUAUUGAAUACUGUGGUUCUCUUGAAAGUAAGUAUAACAGUGUAUAGUAAAACCUGUCGUAGAAUAUGAAGUUAGUGUAUUAUGAAACCGAGUAAAUGGUUUAGCUAAAUAAAUAACAAGAAUCUGUCCAUAGUACACAGAUGCCCCACUCGCACUAUCCUUUUCUAUGUUCAGUGGACCGUAAAACUGGGGUCAAAACUCUAAUUUGACAUUAAAAUUAGAAAGAUAAUAUCAUAUGGAACAUGUGUACUUAGUUUCAAAUUGAUUGGACUAAAACUUCAUCAAAAACUACCUUGACCAAAAACUUUAACCUGAAGCGACAUAGACGAACGGACGGACGAACGAAAGGAAGGACGAAUGAAAGAACGAAUGGACACACAGACCGAAAAACAUAAUGCCCCUAGGUGGAGCAUAUAGGUUAAAAGAAAGUAAAUAAAGAUGACUGGCGCCACCUAGAUUUUACAUCCAAGAUAAUAGGUAGAAGUAAAUGUAUUUUCUGCUGCCCUGGUAAUUAGAAAUACAAAUUGAAAUAGUGCGAAAUGGGUGUAGGCCAUUGGUGUAGAAAUAGCGAGAAAUUUAGAGAAAACUCUCUUUGACAAGCAACAUUUUCUGUGCCAAAUUAAGCAAGGGGUGUUCUUCAUUCA